UACGAAGGGGGCUAGCGUUGUUCGGAAUUACUGGGCGUAAAGCGCGCGUAGGCGGACUGCUAAGUCAGGGGUGAAAUCCCGAGGCUCAACCUCGGAAUUGCCUCUGAUACUGGCUGUCUUGAGUCCGGGAGAGGUGAGUGGAAUUCCUAGUGUAGAGGUGAAAUUCGUAGAUAUUAGGAAGAACACCAGUGGCGAAGGCGGCUCACUGGCCCGGUACUGACGCUCAUGUGCGAAAGCGUGGGGAGCAAACAGG
Molecule: unclassified non-coding RNA, 253 nt
Filed under: Alphaproteobacteria bacterium
Lineage: Bacteria; Pseudomonadati; Pseudomonadota; Alphaproteobacteria
Description: contains 16S-23S intergenic spacer region
Rfam family: Bacterial small subunit ribosomal RNA
Source: RNAcentral